Molecule: non-coding RNA, 215 nt
Filed under: Priestia megaterium
Lineage: Bacteria; Bacillati; Bacillota; Bacilli; Caryophanales; Bacillaceae
Description: Bacillus megaterium T-box sequence
Rfam family: T-box leader
About the family: Uncharged tRNA acts as the effector for transcription antitermination of genes in the T-box leader family. T-boxes are found upstream of many aminoacyl-tRNA synthetase genes and some amino acid biosynthetic genes usually in Gram-positive bacteria.
Source: RNAcentral
ACAAAAGCUAAGAUAGGAUCUUAAGUAAUCCUAAUCUCCCUGUUAUAGAGAGCUGAUAAUUGGUGGAAGUCAGUACAAAGGUUAGAGAUGAAAUUCACUCCUAGAGCUUCCUCUUCUAAUGGUGUUUUAGAGAGGACGGAUAAAACCGUUAUGCUAAUUAAGAGGUAAGAUGUUUUUACAAUAUAGGGUGGUACCGCGAAAUUUUCGUCCCUGCU